CCUACGGGAGGCAGCAGUGGGGAAUCUUGCACAAUGGAGGCAACUCUGAUGCAGCGACGCCGCGUGAGCGAUGAAGCCCCUCGGGGUGUAAAGCUCUUUCGGCAGGGACGCGGUACCUGAAGAAGAAGCUGCGGCUAACUACGUGCCAGCAGCCGCGGUAAUACGUAGGCAGCGAGCGUUGUUCGGAAUUACUGGGCGUAAAGAGUGUGUAGGCGGUGUUCCAAGUUCGGUGUGAAAUCUCCCGGCUUAACUGGGAGGGUGCGCCGAAAACUGGAAUGCUCGAGCGUGGGAGAGGAAAGCGGAAUUCCUGGUGUAGCGGUGAAAUGCGUAGAUAUCAGGAGGAACACCAGCGGUGUAGACGGCUUUCUGGACCAUGCUGACGCUGAGACACGAAAGCGUGGGUAGCAAACAGGAUUAGAUACCCUUGUAGUC
This 432-nucleotide ribosomal RNA is filed under the name uncultured bacterium. RNAcentral describes it as "partial 16S ribosomal RNA". It matches the Rfam family "Bacterial small subunit ribosomal RNA", at positions 338 to 795 of the family's 1533-position model. The record is from RNAcentral.